This 1122-nucleotide ribosomal RNA is filed under the name Vibrio alginolyticus. RNAcentral's name for it is "bacterial LSU rRNA". It matches the Rfam family "Bacterial large subunit ribosomal RNA", at positions 351 to 1488 of the family's 2925-position model. The record is from RNAcentral. Lineage: Bacteria; Pseudomonadati; Pseudomonadota; Gammaproteobacteria; Vibrionales; Vibrionaceae.
CCGACGAUACAGGGUGAUAGUCCCGUAGUUGACGACGUGUGUUCAGUGAAAUCGAGUAGGGCGGGACACGUGAUAUCCUGUCUGAAUAUGGGGGGACCAUCCUCCAAGGCUAAAUACUACUGACUGACCGAUAGUGAACCAGUACCGUGAGGGAAAGGCGAAAAGAACCCCUGUGAGGGGAGUGAAAUAGAACCUGAAACCGUGUACGUACAAGCAGUAGGAGCAGGCUUGUCCUGUGACUGCGUACCUUUUGUAUAAUGGGUCAGCGACUUAUAUUCAGUGGCAAGGUUAACCAUCUAGGGGAGCCGUAGGGAAACCGAGUCUUAACUGGGCGUUCAGUCUCUGGAUAUAGACCCGAAACCAGGUGAUCUAGCCAUGGGCAGGUUGAAGGUUGAGUAACAUCAACUGGAGGACCGAACCGACUAAUGUUGAAAAAUUAGCGGAUGACUUGUGGCUAGGGGUGAAAGGCCAAUCAAACCUGGAGAUAGCUGGUUCUCCCCGAAAGCUAUUUAGGUAGCGCCUCGGACGAAUACUACUGGGGGUAGAGCACUGUUAAGGCUAGGGGGUCAUCCCGACUUACCAACCCUUUGCAAACUCCGAAUACCAGUAAGUACUAUCCGGGAGACACACGGCGGGUGCUAACGUCCGUCGUGGAGAGGGAAACAACCCAGACCGCCAGCUAAGGUCCCAAAUUACUACUAAGUGGGAAACGAUGUGGGAAGGCUCAGACAGCCAGGAUGUUGGCUUAGAAGCAGCCAUCAUUUAAAGAAAGCGUAAUAGCUCACUGGUCGAGUCGGCCUGCGCGGAAGAUGUAACGGGGCUAAGUAGUAAACCGAAGCUGCGGCAAUGCACUUUAGUGCAUUGGGUAGGGGAGCGUUCUGUAAGCGGUUGAAGGUGUGUGGUAACGCAUGCUGGACGUAUCAGAAGUGCGAAUGCUGACAUGAGUAACGAUAAAGGGGGUGAAAAACCUCCUCGCCGGAAGACCAAGGGUUCCUGUCCAACGUUAAUCGGGGCAGGGUAAGUCGACCCCUAAGGCGAGGCCGAAAGGCGUAGUCGAUGGGAAACGGGUUAAUAUUCCCGUACUUCUUACAAUUGCGAUGGGGGGACGGAGAAGGCUAGGUG